This 460-nucleotide ribosomal RNA is filed under the name uncultured bacterium. Its description in RNAcentral is "partial 16S ribosomal RNA". It matches the Rfam family "Bacterial small subunit ribosomal RNA", at positions 338 to 795 of the family's 1533-position model. The record is from RNAcentral.
CCUACGGGUGGCUGCAGUGAGGAAUAUUGGUCAAUGGGCGGAAGCCUGAACCAGCCAAGUAGCGUGCAGGAUGACGGCCCUACGGGUUGUAAACUGCUUUUAUACGGGAAUCACGCGCCUUACGUGUAGGGCUUUGCAUGUACCGUAUGAUUAAGGCCCGGAUAAUUCCGUGCCAGCAGCCGCGGUAAUCAGGAAGGUCCGGGCGUAAUCCGGAUUUAGUGGGUUAAAAGGGAGGGUAGGUCGCAUGUCAAGCGUGCUGUAAAAUGUCCGGGCACAAACCUGGCAUUAUAGCGCAAACUGGCGAGCUUGAGUCCGCUGAAAGCAAGAGGAAUUCGUAGUGUAGCGGUGAAAUGCUUAGAUAUGACAAAGAACCCCGAUUGCGAAGGCAGCUUGCUGCAGCGGAACUGACGCUGAGGCACGAAAGCGCAGGUAUCGAACGGGAUUAGAUACCCUGGUAGUC